This 253-nucleotide ribosomal RNA is filed under the name uncultured bacterium. RNAcentral's name for it is "partial 16S ribosomal RNA". It matches the Rfam family "Bacterial small subunit ribosomal RNA", at positions 524 to 776 of the family's 1533-position model. The record is from RNAcentral.
UACGGAGGGGGCUAGCGUUGUUCGGAAUUACUGGGCGUAAAGCGCGCGUAGGCGGACCUGCAAGUCGGGGGUGAAAUCCUGGGGCUCAACCUCAGAAUUGCCUCCGAUACUGGCAGUCUCGAGUGCGGGAGAGGUGAGUGGAAUUCCCAGUGUAGAGGUGAAAUUCGUAGAUAUUGGGAAGAACACCAGUGGCGAAGGCGGCUCACUGGCCCGUAACUGACGCUGAGGUGCGAAAGCGUGGGGAGCAAACAGG